CUUUAUAAGCAGUAAUUUUGAGGCUCCUCAUUUUCCUGAGAGAUGUUAUAGGCCACAGAGCUGAAUGUGUUUUGAAGUAAACAGCAGAAGAGGGGAAUUUUGGAGGCCUAAAACAUGAUCUUAUAAUGAAACUUCCCAUUUCAAAAUUCAAACAGAGCUUUGGCUCUGAUAGUUCCCAAGGCUGAAGAACUGCACUCAUGGUUGAUUCAGUGUCCAAGCCGAUGACCUCAGGAGGUGGAGAAGUAAGCCUCAGCUGCUGUGUCAGAAGGAUCUCGUGGAUGAUUUCAGCCACUGGAGUACAGCUCAGUUAGGGGGAAACAUACGGAGGCCAUACAUAUGCUCAGUGUUUACCAACAUGAGAAGACAGCGUCUUUAGCAGCCAUGGGGACUGCUUUGGAUGCAUCCGUGUAAGUCUCUCAGCAAGCUUGCG
Molecule: long non-coding RNA, 430 nt
Organism: Meriones unguiculatus (Mongolian gerbil)
Lineage: Eukaryota; Metazoa; Chordata; Mammalia; Rodentia; Muridae
Exons: 3
Source: RefSeq, a predicted model, not a curated record